Molecule: ribosomal RNA, 253 nt
Filed under: uncultured bacterium
Lineage: Bacteria
Description: partial 16S ribosomal RNA
Rfam family: Bacterial small subunit ribosomal RNA
Source: RNAcentral
UACAGAGGAGCCAAGCGUUGUCCGGAUUGACUGGGCGUAAAGCGCACGCAGGCGGCAUCGCGCGUGGGGUGUGAAAUCUGGCCGCUUAACGGCCAGGCGCCAUCCCAUACGGCGAGGCUGGAGCGAUGCAGAGGUCGGUGGAAUUGCCGGUGUAGCGGUGGAAUGCGUAGAGAUCGGGAGGAACACCAGUGGCGAAGGCGGCCGGCUGGGCCUUGACUGACGCUGAGGCGCGACAGCGUGGGGAGCGAACCGG